UACGUAGGGCGCAAGCGUUAUCCGGAAUUAUUGGGCGUAAAGAGCUCGUAGGCGGUUUGUCGCGUCUGCCGUGAAAGUCCGGGGCUCAACUCCGGAUCUGCGGUGGGUACGGGCAGACUAGAGUGAUGUAGGGGAGACUGGAAUUCCUGGUGUAGCGGUGAAAUGCGCAGAUAUCAGGAGGAACACCGAUGGCGAAGGCAGGUCUCUGGGCAUUACUGACGCUGAGGAGCGAAAGCAUGGGGAGCGAACAGG
RNAcentral lists this ribosomal RNA (252 nucleotides) under uncultured bacterium. RNAcentral's name for it is "partial 16S ribosomal RNA". It matches the Rfam family "Bacterial small subunit ribosomal RNA", at positions 524 to 776 of the family's 1533-position model. The record is from RNAcentral.